CGGCCCUCGCGGGGGUGCAUUGUAGUUGCAUUGCAUGUGUCAGACUGGGAGUGCAAUGCCCCUGCCAUGCAGCCCGGCGGGGGUCCC
This is a microRNA precursor of Pavo cristatus (Indian peafowl), 87 nucleotides long. Ensembl annotates it as microRNA 33b. The record is from Ensembl. Lineage: Eukaryota; Metazoa; Chordata; Aves; Galliformes; Phasianidae.